GUGUGUGUGUGUGUGUGUGUGUGUGUGUGUGUGUGUGUGUGUGUGUGUGUGUGUGUGUGUGUGUCUGUGUCUGUGUGUGAGGGAAAGCAAGCAAGAGACUAUCUGUCCAAAGAGGUCAGUCAUAAAUUCUCUGCCCUCAACUUAAAUCCAACACAAUGGGACAUUUAUGACCUGCCUGUAAUUCAUACUUGUGUACUAUCCGAGCCACAUGUAUCUGUUCCUUGGAAACCUCAUGCCUUUAAUAAUGUAAAUGAUGCAAUUACCAAAAUAAAACACUCAACUGUUUCCGGCAUGACGGUGAUGUUUUUGCUGGCAGGGUUUAUACUGCUGUUAUUAAAGUCUUCAGAAGUGGACCAUUAAAAAUAUUGCCACUACUGUAUUUGGCUUGAUGCAAUUCAA
This is a non-coding RNA of Labrus bergylta (ballan wrasse), 399 nucleotides long. NCBI's taxonomy places the organism in Eukaryota, Metazoa, Chordata, Actinopteri, Labriformes, Labridae. The record is from RefSeq and is a predicted model, not a curated record.